This is a long non-coding RNA of Colossoma macropomum (tambaqui), 471 nucleotides long. RefSeq lists it as uncharacterized. Lineage: Eukaryota; Metazoa; Chordata; Actinopteri; Characiformes; Serrasalmidae. The record is from RefSeq and is a predicted model, not a curated record. The transcript is spliced from 2 exons.
GUAGGCAGCAUUCUAAGGCAGCAUUUGUGCGCUCCCGAGACAAGUGAUGUCCCAUUCGGAAGGCAGCAUAAGUCAGCUGCCUUCUAAGGUGCCUUAUUUUGACCAAAUCUGAAGGCAGCAUCGCAUGUGUCCUUGUCGGUGAAGGCAUUCCCACAAUACUGUUCACCGGCCGAGAAUUCCAUCGCUCCGGUCUGAUAAACAUGGCGGACGAGGCGGCCGUUUUUUGCCGACCGAGGAGUUUACAAUGAACGAACGUUACAGCGGCGGGGAGCUGCUGUCUGAGGGGCUGAGGAAGAGGAGCGGUCACAGGGAGAAAACUGCGCUGAAUGACCGAAAGCAGCUCACUGGCCGAGGGUAUUUUGGGGGAAACACAGCGGGACCAGCGCUACAGACUGACGUUCUUCCUGAACGAUGAAAAGUAGUUUAACUUAUGUAGAAGUUCAGAAAUAAAAUAAAUACUACAGAUGCUUA